Molecule: transfer RNA, 118 nt
Organism: Paracoccidioides sp.
Lineage: Eukaryota; Fungi; Ascomycota; Eurotiomycetes; Onygenales; Ajellomycetaceae
Rfam family: tRNA
About the family: Transfer RNA (tRNA) molecules are approximately 80 nucleotides in length. Their secondary structure includes four short double-helical elements and three loops (D, anti-codon, and T loops).
Source: Rfam
GAGGGACUGGCAGAAGGGUAAUGCGUAGCUCUCCUACCCAUUGGACAAAGGAAAACCUAUAUAGGUGGUCCGGGACCAAGCUAAGCUAAGAUUGUGGGUUCGAGUCCCACGUUCCUCG